UUUCAUCUUCCAUUUGUCAGGAAUUUUUACAAAAAAUCUCAAAAGCAAAUGGAAAACAACAUAAGUUUAACUUGAACUCCGUCCAAAUUAAAAAUUUGAAAAGAAAAAUUUAACAAAUAAAAAAAUAGAAAGAUGUGCAUGUGCAAGUAAUGCAUUUUCCCUUUGAAGCUCUAAAAAAAAAUAUGAUAUGCUUACGCACUCAUAUUUUAAACUGUAUUGAGCUUUAACUCAAAGUUCAUUAGUUAUCUUAAAUAGCUACUACCUAUGACAAUUUUUUUUUAUUUUAUCAAUCAAAUAUGUCGUAGGUAUGUACGGGAAGGUAUCUACCUAUAUAAUCUUUAAAAUGGAAAAAAAUAAUUUUUGCUUUACAUUUAAUGCUUUAAAUAUGGACCUACACUACUUAUCACUUUAACAACUAAUUUACAUCCUAUAAAGUUGUUCGGAGGGUCGGCAAUCUCUUAGAUUAAUUCCUUUACCCGUUUGUACGAUCUACCAACAUAUCUGCAGUAGAAGAUUUUAUGGAGGGAAAAACAAAUCGAAACAGAGAAAGCAGAGAAGCGAUUGCAUUUUGUUACAACAAUUUCAGCACAUUUUCCUGUCUGUAUUUUAAUAAAUAAAAAUUCCUUGGUAAAUUACUUACCUACAGAUAUUCCAAAUUUAUCAGAUUUUCUUAUAGUCGGACUACAAAAUAAUAUUCCACGUCAGGUUUCUGCGCUGCUAAUUGCAAAAGAAUAAAAAAGAAAGAGAAAUUCGUGAGCACGAACGAAUGAGCAAAACCUUUAUGUGAUGACCACCGAUCCGAUGGGG
This is a long non-coding RNA of Episyrphus balteatus (marmalade hoverfly), 807 nucleotides long. RefSeq lists it as uncharacterized. NCBI's taxonomy places the organism in Eukaryota, Metazoa, Arthropoda, Insecta, Diptera, Syrphidae. The transcript is spliced from 3 exons. The record is from RefSeq and is a predicted model, not a curated record.